RNAcentral lists this long non-coding RNA (532 nucleotides) under Bos taurus (domestic cattle). Its description in RNAcentral is "long non-coding RNA NONBTAT017478". Lineage: Eukaryota; Metazoa; Chordata; Mammalia; Artiodactyla; Bovidae. The record is from RNAcentral.
UGCCAGGAUCAAUAUGGAUGUGGUGACAUUUUCCUAAACUGUAAAGCCCUGCACAAAGUGGUUAAAUAGACACGAUACAGCAGAAGCCACCUUUCCAAUGCUUAGAAUACAAGGAUCUGUUCUUUUUCAAAAGGUGUGAGUGAGGGACUCAGACUUCUACAGUUCACCUUAUCCUCUCUUGCACUUUGGUAAAACUCAAAAGAGUCAUUGAUUUAAAACUGAUUUUAUAUCCCAAGGAUGUUCAGCAACAGACUUGCUCUUAAUCAUUUGAAACUACUCAAAACAAGCCCCCCCAAAAGACACGUCUGUGUUGAAAAUCCAUUAAAAGUUCUGUUUACUGGAAGAUCAUUCCCAGCUGGGGCUUGAGGGGUGAUUCCCAUUGUUUCCUCUAGAUUUCAGUACAGGAUUCUGUUGCUACUGUUGUUGUUACAUCCCAGUGAAUGACAGGCAUGAGUGUGACUGAGAAUGAGAAACGAGUGAAAACGCUGCUCGAGGAUCAGAGCCACCGCCUCUAAAUCCUGUUCCCUUCACU